UACGGGGGGGGCAAGCGUUGUUCGGAAUUACUGGGCGUAAAGGGCUCGUAGGCGGCCAACUAAGUCAGACGUGAAAUCCCUCGGCUUAACCGGGGAACUGCAUCUGAUACUGGAUGGCUUGAGAUUGGGAGAGGGAUGCGGAAUUCCAGGUGUAGCGGUGAAAUGCGUAGAUAUCUGGAGGAACACCGGUGGCGAAGGCGGCAUCCUGGACCAACACGGACGCUGAGGAGCGAAAGCCAGGGGAGCAAACGGG
This 253-nucleotide ribosomal RNA is filed under the name uncultured bacterium. RNAcentral describes it as "partial 16S ribosomal RNA". It matches the Rfam family "Bacterial small subunit ribosomal RNA", at positions 524 to 776 of the family's 1533-position model. The record is from RNAcentral.